Molecule: ribosomal RNA, 376 nt
Filed under: uncultured Pelotomaculum sp.
Lineage: Bacteria; Bacillati; Bacillota; Clostridia; Eubacteriales; Desulfotomaculaceae
Description: bacterial SSU rRNA
Rfam family: Bacterial small subunit ribosomal RNA
Source: RNAcentral
GUACGUUUCACCUCGGGUGACAGGGAGACAGGUGGUGCAUGGUUGUCGUCAGCUCGUGUCGUGAGAUGUUGGGUUAAGUCCCGCAACGAGCGCAACCCCUACGUUUAGUUGCUAACGCGUGAAGGCGAGCACUCUAGACGAACUGCCGUUGACAAAACGGAGGAAGGUGGGGAUGACGUCAAAUCAUCAUGCCCCUUAUGUUCUGGGCUACACACGUGCUACAAUGGCCGGUACAGACGGACGCAAAGCCGCGAGGUGGAGCAAAUCCUAAAAAGCCGGUCUCAGUUCGGAUUGCAGGCUGCAAUUCGCCUGCAUGAAGUCGGAAUCGCUAGUAAUCGCAGGUCAGCAUACUGCGGUGAAUACGUUCCCGGGCCUU